GUCCACACUGUAAACGUUGAUUACUCGCUGUGUGCGAUAUACAGUACGCGGCCAAGCGAAAGCGAUAAGUAAUCCACCUGGGGAGUACGCCGGCAACGGUGAAACUCAAAGGAAUUGACGGGGUCCGCACAAGCGGUGGAGCAUGUGGUUUAAUUCGAUGAUACGCGAGGAACCUUACCUGGGCUAGAAUGCCCUUGACCGAUCCAGAGAUGGAUUUUUCAGCAAUGACAAGGAGCAAGGUGCUGCAUGGCUGUCGU
This 257-nucleotide ribosomal RNA is filed under the name uncultured bacterium. RNAcentral describes it as "partial 16S ribosomal RNA". It matches the Rfam family "Bacterial small subunit ribosomal RNA", at positions 793 to 1055 of the family's 1533-position model. The record is from RNAcentral.